ACGAACGCUGGCGGCGUGCUUAACACAUGCAAGUCGAACGGAAAGGCCCUGCUUUUGUGGGGUGCUCGAGUGGCGAACGGGUGAGUAACACGUGAGUAACCUGCCCUUGACUUUGGGAUAACUUCAGGAAACUGGGGCUAAUACCGGAUAGGAGCUCCUGCUGCAUGGUGGGGGUUGGAAAGUUUCGGCGGUUGGGGAUGGACUCGCGGCUUAUCAGCUUGUUGGUGGGGUAGUGGCUUACCAAGGCUUUGACGGGUAGCCGGCCUGAGAGGGUGACCGGCCACAUUGGGACUGAGAUACGGCCCAGACUCCUACGGGAGGCAGCAGUGGGGAAUAUUGCACAAUGGGCGGAAGCCUGAUGCAGCAACGCCGCGUGCGGGAUGACGGCCUUCGGGUUGUAAACCGCUUUCGCCUGUGACGAAGCGUGAGUGACGGUAAUGGGUAAAGAAGCACCGGCUAACUGCGUG
Molecule: ribosomal RNA, 467 nt
Filed under: uncultured bacterium
Lineage: Bacteria
Description: partial 16S ribosomal RNA
Rfam family: Bacterial small subunit ribosomal RNA
Source: RNAcentral